Molecule: ribosomal RNA, 497 nt
Filed under: uncultured bacterium
Lineage: Bacteria
Description: partial 16S ribosomal RNA
Rfam family: Bacterial small subunit ribosomal RNA
Source: RNAcentral
GAUGAACGCUGGCGGCGUGCCUAAUACAUGCAAGUCGAGCGAACGGACGAUAAGCUUGCUUCUCUGAUGUUAGCGGCGGACGGGUGAGUAACGCGUGGAUCACCUACCUCUAAGACUGGGGUAACUUCGGGAAACCGGAGCUACUACCGGAUAAUAUUUUGAACCGCAUGGUUCAAAAGUGAAAGACGCUCUUGCUGUCACUUAUAGAUGGAUCCGCGCUGCAUUAGCUAGUUGGUAAGGUAACGGCUUACCAAGGCAACGAUGCAUAGCCGACCUGAGAGGGUGAUCGGCCACACUGGAACUGAGACACGGUCCAGACUCCUACGGGAGGCAGCAGUAGGGAAUCUUCCGCAAUGGGCGAAAGCCUGACGGAGCAACGCCGCGUGAGUGAUGAAGGUCUUCGGAUCGUAAAACUCUGUUAUUAGGGAAGAACAUAUGUGUAAGUAACUGUGCACAUCUUGACGGUACCUAAUCAGAAAGCCACGGCUAACUACGUG